Molecule: ribosomal RNA, 274 nt
Filed under: uncultured bacterium
Lineage: Bacteria
Description: partial 16S ribosomal RNA
Rfam family: Bacterial small subunit ribosomal RNA
Source: RNAcentral
AUACGAAGGUCCCAAGCGUUAUUCGGAAUCACUGGGCGUAAAGAGUACGUAGGCGGUUUGGUAAGUCAGGUGUGAAAUCCCGGAGCUCAACUCCGGAACUGCAUCCGAUACUGCCAGACUUGAGUAAUGGAGAGGCAGGUGGAAUUCUCGGUGUAGCAGUGAAAUGCGUGGAUAUCGAGAGGAAGACCAAUGGCGAAGGCAGCCUGCUGGACAUUUACUGACGCUGAGGUACGAAGGCUAGGGGAGCGAGAGGGAUUAGAUACCCCAGUAGUCC